UAACCUGCUAAAUAGUCAGGCCAGCUCCGGCUGGUCACUGGCUUCUUAGAGGGACUAUCGGCUUCAAGCCGAUGGAAGUUUGAGGCAAUAACAGGUCUGUAAUGCCCUUAGAUGUUCUGGGCCGCACGCGCGCUACACUGACAGAGCCAACGAGUUUAUACCUUGUCCGAAAGGUCCGGGUAAUCUUGUGAAACUCUGUCGUGCUGGGGAUAGAGCAUUGCAAUUAUUGCUCUUCAACGAGGAAUUCCUAGUAAGCGCAAGUCAUCAGCUUGCGUUGACUACGUCCCUGCCCUUUGUACACACCGCCCGUCGCU
RNAcentral lists this ribosomal RNA (314 nucleotides) under uncultured fungus. Its description in RNAcentral is "SSU rRNA". It matches the Rfam family "Eukaryotic small subunit ribosomal RNA", at positions 1344 to 1680 of the family's 1831-position model. The record is from RNAcentral. Lineage: Eukaryota; Fungi.